Molecule: ribosomal RNA, 488 nt
Filed under: Listeria monocytogenes
Lineage: Bacteria; Bacillati; Bacillota; Bacilli; Caryophanales; Listeriaceae
Description: bacterial SSU rRNA
Rfam family: Bacterial small subunit ribosomal RNA
Source: RNAcentral
AACGCUGGCGGCGUGCCUAAUACAUGCAAGUCGAACGAACGGAGGAAGAGCUUGCUCUUCCAAAGUUAGUGGCGGACGGGUGAGUAACACGUGGGCAACCUGCCUGUAAGUUGGGGAUAACUCCGGGAAACCGGGGCUAAUACCGAAUGAUAAAGUGUGGCGCAUGCCACGCUUUUGAAAGAUGGUUUCGGCUAUCGCUUACAGAUGGGCCCGCGGUGCAUUAGCUAGUUGGUAGGGUAAUGGCCUACCAAGGCAACGAUGCAUAGCCGACCUGAGAGGGUGAUCGGCCACACUGGGACUGAGACACGGCCCAGACUCCUACGGGAGGCAGCAGUAGGGAAUCUUCCGCAAUGGACGAAAGUCUGACGGAGCAACGCCGCGUGUAUGAAGAAGGUUUUCGGAUCGUAAAGUACUGUUGUUAGAGAAGAACAAGGAUAAGAGUAACUGCUUGUCCCUUGACGGUAUCUAACCAGAAAGCCACGGCUAAC